UACGAAGGAGGCUAGCGUUGUUCGGAAUUACUGGGCGUAAAGCGCACGUAGGCGGCUCUGUAAGUUGGGGGUGAAAUCCCGAGGCUCAACCUCGGAAUUGCCUUCAAGACUGCAGGGCUUGAGUUCGGGAGAGGUGAGUGGAAUGCCCAGAGUAGAGGUGAAAUUCGUAGAUAUUGGGAAGAACAACAGUGGCGAAUGCGGCUCACUGGCACGUAACUGACGCUGAGGUGCGAAAGCGUGGGGAGCAAUUACG
RNAcentral lists this ribosomal RNA (253 nucleotides) under uncultured bacterium. RNAcentral's name for it is "partial 16S ribosomal RNA". It matches the Rfam family "Bacterial small subunit ribosomal RNA", at positions 524 to 776 of the family's 1533-position model. The record is from RNAcentral.